This 502-nucleotide ribosomal RNA is filed under the name uncultured bacterium. Its description in RNAcentral is "partial 16S ribosomal RNA". It matches the Rfam family "Bacterial small subunit ribosomal RNA", at positions 29 to 523 of the family's 1533-position model. The record is from RNAcentral.
AUUGAACGCUGGCGGCAUGCCUUACACAUUCAAGUCGAACGGCAGCACGGGUGCUUGCACCUGGUGGCGAGUGGCGAACGGGUGAGUAAUACAUCGGAACGUACCUUAUCGUGGGGGAUAACGCAGCGAAAGCUGUGCUAAUACCGCAUACGACCUGAGCGGGAAAGCGGGGGAUCGCAAGACCUCGCGCGAUUAGAGCGGCCGAUGCCUGAUUAGGUUGUUGGUGGGGUAAAGGCCCAGCAAGGCGACAAUCAGUAGAUGGUCUGCGAGGACGAUCAGCCACACGGGGACUGAGACAAGGCCCAGACGCCUAGGGGAGGCAGCAGUGGGGAAUUUUGGACAAUGGGCGAAAGCCGGAUCCAGCAAUGCCGCGUGGGUGAAGAAGUCCUUCGGGUCGUAAAGCACUUUCGUCCGGAAAGAAAUGGCUCUGGUUACUACCUGGGGUCGAUGACGGUACCGGAAGAAUAAGGACCGGCUAACUACGUGCCAGCAGCCGCCGUAA